This 72-nucleotide transfer RNA is filed under the name Ovis aries (sheep). It matches the Rfam family "tRNA". Rfam says of the family: Transfer RNA (tRNA) molecules are approximately 80 nucleotides in length. The record is from Rfam by way of RNAcentral. Lineage: Eukaryota; Metazoa; Chordata; Mammalia; Artiodactyla; Bovidae.
UCCCUGGUGGCUCAGAGGUUAAAGCGUCUGCCUCCAAUGCAGGAGACCCAGGUUCAAUUCUUAGGUCGGGAA